RNAcentral lists this ribosomal RNA (829 nucleotides) under Bacillus subtilis. RNAcentral's name for it is "bacterial SSU rRNA". It matches the Rfam family "Bacterial small subunit ribosomal RNA", at positions 388 to 1215 of the family's 1533-position model. Lineage: Bacteria; Bacillati; Bacillota; Bacilli; Caryophanales; Bacillaceae. The record is from RNAcentral.
GGAGCAACGCCGCUGAGUGAUGAAGGUUUUCGGAUCGUAAAGCUCUGUUGUUAGGGAAGAACAAGUACGGUUCGAAUAGGGCGGUACCUUGACGGUACCUAACCAGAAAGCCACGGCUAACUACUGCCAGCAGCCGCGGUAAUACGUAGGUGGCAAGCGUUGUCCGGAAUUAUUGGGCGUAAAGGGCUCGCAGGCGGUUUCUUAAGUCUGAUGUGAAAGCCCCCGGCUCAACCGGGGAGGGUCAUUGGAACUGGGGAACUUGAGUGCAGAAGAGGAGAGUGGAAUUCCACGUGUAGCGGUGAAAUGCGUAGAGAUGUGGAGGAACACCAGUGGCGAAGGCGACUCUCUGGUCUGUAACUGACGCUGAGGAGCAAAGCGUGGGGAGCGAACAGGAUUAGAUACCCUGGUAGUCCACGCCGUAAACGAUGAGUGCUAAGUGUUAGGGGGUUUCCGCCCCUUAGUGCUGCAGCUAACGCAUUAAGCACUCCGCCUGGGGAUACGGUCGCAAGACUGAAACUCAAAGGAAUUGACGGGGGCCCGCACAAGCGGUGGAGCAUGUGGUUUAAUUCGAAGCAACGCGAAGAACCUUACCAGGUCUUGACAUCCUCUGACAAUCCUAGAAUAGGACGUCCCCUUCGGGGGCAGAGUGACAGGUGGUGCAUGGUUGUCGUCAGCUCGUGUCGUGAGAUGUUGGGUUAAGUCCCGCAACGAGCGCAACCCUUGAUCUUAGUUGCCAGCAUUCAGUGGGCACUCUAAGGUGACUGCCGGUGACAAACCGGGAGGAAGGUGGGGAUGACGUCAAAUCAUCAUGCCCCUUAUGACCUGGGCA